UACGUAGGUCCCGAGCGUUGUCCGGAUUUAUUGGGCGUAAAGCGAGCGCAGGUGGUUUAUUAAAUCUGGUGUAAAAGGCAGUGGCUCAACCAUUGUAUGCAUUGGAAACUGGUGGACUUGAGUGCAGGAGAGGAGAGUGGAAUUCCAUGUGUAGCGGUGAAAUGCGUAGAUAUAUGGAGGAACACCGGUGGCGAAAGCGGCUCUCUGGCCUGUAACUGACACUGAGGCUCGAAAGCGUGGGGAGCAAACAGG
RNAcentral lists this ribosomal RNA (252 nucleotides) under uncultured bacterium. RNAcentral's name for it is "partial 16S ribosomal RNA". It matches the Rfam family "Bacterial small subunit ribosomal RNA", at positions 524 to 776 of the family's 1533-position model. The record is from RNAcentral.